GUUGGUCAAGAUAUGGAUUAGUUAAUAUAAUACAAAACAAAAAGUAUACAUGCCAAACGAAUUUCUUCACAAGUGGCCAUUUUCUAAACAUACUUUUAAAAGUUUUCUUCUUCUUAUCGUUUGAUACAAAUUUCUAACUUUUUAUUAGUAAAUUUCCGAGGAGAGAAGUUUCCGCGAUGUUCAAUUCCUCUGUGAUUCACAAGUGCUCAUCAACCUUCUCAAAUCAGGAGACACAAUAAAUGAGUUUCAUGGAAUCCUUCACAAUACUCGGAGCAUUGCUUCCUAUAAGACGCUACUGUGAUCUUUUAUUAGAAUCUAUACCAUGCAUAUGGUCAUGAACACAUUGUUCAACGUCACUGAUUACAAUUAUAUUCGGAUUAAGUACGUAUGCAAGAUCUGAAAAUUCACAAUAUAGUUAGAUGAACACCGAUUAAGUAUAGUUUAUUAAAUUCAAAUAUGUAUAUAUUUCUAGAGAUAUAUAUCUUUGAUUGCGUGUUUAAAGCAUGUUUUUUUAUAACAUGGUUUUCUGUUAGGUCAAAAUUUUUAAACGCAAUUGAUUUUGUCUUGGUUACACUUUUAUGUCGAUGGUCCAUAUGGCUGUCUGAUUAUCAACGUCAAGGACCAAAUACUUUAUACUUGUAUAUAAAAAAAAUGUUUAAUAAAUGUCAUUCUAGUUUUAUUUUUUUGUUACACAAAAAAUAUCAUUUUACAAUUCUAAAACAAAUUAUAUUUAUUUUCAUCUGAAAAUUAAUUACAAACUGCAUAGGUUUUAUAAAUAAUUUUAUUUAUCUCAAAUAUUGUUGGUAGAAAGACGUAAUUAAUAACAACUUACAUAUAUUUUUGCUACUUUCUUAGUUUGUGUGAAAAGUGUCAACGUGACACUUAUUCAAAAACGGAUGUAAUAUAAGGUUAAGAACAAAACAACAAUACGACUAGUUUUACCUGUGUUACAUCAGAUUAUGUAUUGAAUGGUAAAUCAUAAAACACGUUCAAAUACUUGUUGUUCGUGUCUUAUACGUGACCUAUAUAUAUAUACUCCCUCUAUUUCAAUGUAUAUGUGGUUUUGAAAGAUUUUUAUUUGUUUCACAAUUUAAUUUGUUUUCAAAGUCCAAUAAAAAAAGUAAAGUGAUAAAACAAUAUUUAAACAAAAAAUUAAAAGAAAUUUUAGAAAUAUUUAUUUGACUGGUCACUUUUUCUGUUUGAUUAGAUGCUAAAAACAAAUAUAUUUUAAUACUUGUGCUUUUAAACAAAACUAUUUAUAAUUUGAAACAGAUAAAGUAUCAAUUUGGUUAGAAUUAUUUUUUUCAUUUCAUAAGAAAAAAGAUUUUAUUUAUUUGUAUAAAGUUUUUUUUUGGACAACAUAUGUUAGCACUAUGUUAGCAUGCAUUUCUUAUUUUUGUAUAAAGUUAAUCAAUUAAAAAACACAAAAGGUUUUACAACAUAUGUUAGCAACUUAGCAUCAAUGUUUUUAAACUCGAUCCGAAUACUGAACCGGACGAAUUACCGGGUCGAAGGAUCAGGAUCGACCGUGGGUGAACCGCGGAUUCAUAAAUGAAUUAAUUUUAUUAUAUAAUAAUAUAUUAUCUAUGUAAAUAAAAAUAUAGAAAAUAAAGUUUAAUGUUUUCUAAAUGUUUUUUAAAACAUAAAAUAAUAGUUUGGAUAUGUAUAUAUUUUAUGUUUAAAACAUUUAGAAAAUACUUAACUUUAGUUUUUAUAUUUUUAUUUUCAUUUGACAUACAAAAUAUAAAAAAAAUAGUGUGGACUAUUUAAAAUUUUCUGUAACAAGGUAGGAGUUAUGACAUCUAAAAAAAAUCAAGACAUAAAAUUCAUAAAUACUUAAAUUUCUAAUAUGAAUAAUAAAUUAAACUUCAAAUCUAAAAAAAAUACAAAGGUAAAAGAUCGUUGUAAUAAAUUGUCAAAUAACAUAAAUAAACUAACACCAAAUCACAUCAACUAAUUUUGGUUCUCUCUAUCAUCGUUCACUUCAUUUUCUUCAGGUGACAUAGUGAAAUCUUCAUCAAAAUCUAAAAAUCACAAAUAUAAAAAUGAAAAGGAAAAACCUAACUUUUUUUUGUUAACACCUAACUUCUUAAUUAUAAACUUAAUUAGAAUAUAAAACAUUAUUAAAAACUAAAAAAAGUAAAGUUAUUUAUUGGUUCAACCGAUGGUUCAACCGGUAUCGGGUUCUGGGGUUUACUGGGUUUUUGCGGGUUUGUGCGGAUUUUUAAAUAUUGAGAUUUUUACAAAACUCAAACCGGAUUUUUUUUUGUUACCGGACUUACCGGUUCAACUGCGGAUCCGGAUCGGGUUUCAAAACAACGGUUAGCAUUCAUUUCUUAUUCUUUUUAAAAGUAAGGUGCUC
RNAcentral lists this long non-coding RNA (2362 nucleotides) under Brassica napus (rape). RNAcentral's name for it is "long non-coding RNA (BNAP_LNC010411)". Lineage: Eukaryota; Viridiplantae; Streptophyta; Magnoliopsida; Brassicales; Brassicaceae. The record is from RNAcentral.